UUCAGAUCCUCAAAAAGCCGGUGUGAGGUCCUAGCCCCCCACUAUUAGCAACCUCCUCACCGACACGCCUCCCUCUUGUUGACAACCUCGGCUCGCCAGGAAAUUUGACUACUGGGAUGUACACUUUCAGUGACUAAAAUAUUCUACUUCUAUGUGUUCUGUUUGAGAAACAAUUUAGACAUUUGCACUAUAUGUUGUAUAGUAUAUCAUGUGUGAAAAAUAACGAAGAAUUUUCUUACCCCUCCAGUAGCAUUUUGAACUGUGUAAUCCUUGUUUGCGUUGCAAUAUUCACAUCUUGCAGUUUUGAUAUGUGUGGUUCGAACAUUUUGGUACAUACACAUGCACCUGUGAGAUUAGCGCAGCCUGUCCUUGAUUUAUUUUCUUGCCAUUGUGUUGCCUUUUCCUUGGCACAUUUGCUAUUGGAAUUCUGUCAGAUUAGAUGACUGGUUCUGAAGAAAGAUUUAAUGUCCAUUUGUUUCCCAGAUUUGUGAGUUGGAUAUCUUGUUCAUUCAAUUGUUCGUUAAUCGCGAAAUCUAAGUUGCUGACAUUUAAACAUAUCAACAGAAUGGAAAUUUUGUCUCGGUUUACUCUUCACUUUAAAGAGGGCACCCAUUAGAUUUGUGCCGAGCACCGUUCAAGCCAAUGAACAGGCUCCUUUUGUUUUGGGUGGUUGGCUCUUUUAUAAAUUCUAUACGAAUACCUAAGUACUUUUGUUCCCGGAUUUUAAUUUGGAGAAGAAACAAAGUUGGUUAUACAAGCACCGUUUAUGCUAUUGAACAAGCUCUUUUUGUCUGGGCGGUUGGCUCUUUUUAUAAAUUGUAUGCAAAUACGUAACUCCUUUUGUACCCAGAUUUUUAUUUGGAGAAAAAUAUAAAAUUUGUUAUACCGUUUAUACCGUUUCUAUUUGGAGCGCACUCUUGUUUGCCAUGGUGCAUAUUGAUUUUUAUAAUUUGUUCUGCUACCAAAUUCAAUGGGCCUUUUUUCCCUCUGUCAAUAUUGGGGCAUAAUGAACAUGUUUAGUAACAAUGAGGCCUCUAAUCGACGCGAGAUAUGCACAUAUAUACACUACUCUUGUGUACUACGCGCGUCAAUUUAUUCCAAUCGGAGGGAGUACAAGGCACUGCUCCCGAUUAUUUGAUUUGUUCUUUUCCAAAUGUUGACUGCACUUCUCUGCAAUGCCAAAUAAUAUAUUGGGCACCAUUUGAUUUAGAGUAGGCACCAAGUUAGAGUGUUGAUUUUCUUAUUUUUUUAAAGAGAUACUGAAACAUUGGGCACCCUUUUUGUUUUAAACAUGGAGUAUAGAUGAACACCUAAGUCUGUUCUUGAUUGAUUUUCUUUUAAAUAUGUGGCACUUUUCUUCUGCCUGGGCAAUUUGAAGGCUCCUCUGUGCAUACUGUGAGGCCUUGUUGGACAUACUGUCCAGGGCACAACUAAAAUCUUCAUAACUAAUAGUGUGUUGUCAAGUACCGUUUACAUACUUGCAAUUGCCAUGCGGGCAAUUCUCAGACCCCAUAGAUGGUCGAUCUUCCUGUCCAGAAAAGUUUGCACUUUGCCAUGCACGCAUGUGACCAAAAAAGUCUUUUUAUGCAACCGGGUUUGAUGGAAAAGGCUGAUCAGUCAAUGCAGAAAAUGUCAGACUAGGUUUCCAGUUUAGGUCAUGUGUAAGGGAAAGGUGAGGCUUGUGUUUGCCUAUUUUGGUUUGCAUCUAACCAUUUAAUAAUUGAUCAGUUUGACGUACAAUUCUCACUGUUGUGUUUUUCCUUAAAUAUCUACUACAAUUGAGGGUACAUAAGUAUGUGUGGCACUUUUAAUAAAUCAUAACAAAGUAGCUACAUUGAUUUUUAUUUGUAACAACAAACAAGAUGGUUAAAAAUAUACAAAGCAUUAAACAACUGUAUGAUUUUAGUCUGUGCAUAUACUCAUAAUGUUAUUGUACAAGUUUAUUUUUACAAGUCAUACAAAGGUAACUAAUUCGAUAAAAGAUUCUCACAUACUUGUGAUAGAAGGAUAUUAUUUAGGGUUCAAGCACCCUCCUCACAAACAAAAACAUACUGAUGCUUAAGGAAAUGAGAAAAUUUUGCACCCCCAAAGAACCCUUUUGGUUGUUACCUAGCACCGUUUUCAUUUUUCUCACGCACUGUUCCCUACCACGUGUGGCUCUUUUUAUAUAUCAUACCCCAUUCUGAUAGCAUAUGUUAGCAUAUUUAUCUAUGGUUUAACUACUAUCUGUUGAUCAAUUAGGGUAAAACAUUUACUUGUGUUAUCAUGCAUCUGCAGGAUUUCUUUGGUAGUAAAAUAGAUUAAAAUUUGCUUUUGAGCUGUUGGGAUAGAAGUGAGCUGAAGCAAGCUAAAAGGACAUGUUCACAGGCACCUCAUCAGAUUUUUCUAAGCAAGGAUUUGGAGUUCUAACUUCGUUACUUCCUCAUCUUAUCCACACCAAACCAGACCAUGGACCCCAAUGGCAAUGUAAUACAGGCGUGCUGCCAUCAUUUAUUCCAAGGGGCGCCUGGUGAUUCAGAGUCUACGCCGACGAGCUGAUGCAUCCGGCAUGUCAGCUAUAUCUACUUGAUUAUUUUUCUAUUUGUGUUACAAACAAUAUGGUAUUGUAUUAUGAACCAUUAACAUAUACUUUGUUUUCUUUUCUGUUUUGAUUGGUUUCAGCGCUGUGCUAGGCCAUCGUCAUAUAUAGCCAUCUGGUGCUGUGUGUGGCCCUGGCAGGUGUCCAAAGUCUAUGUCACAUGGUGGGCCUAGCCAGUACAACGUAGUAGUAUUAUAUGAUGCUCGUAGAGCUGUUGUUUUAAAUGUUGAUUCAGUUUGAAUUUCCCGUUACGCCAAA
Lolium perenne is the source of this 2836-nucleotide non-coding RNA. The record is from RefSeq and is a predicted model, not a curated record. NCBI's taxonomy places the organism in Eukaryota, Viridiplantae, Streptophyta, Magnoliopsida, Poales, Poaceae.